Molecule: long non-coding RNA, 1087 nt
Organism: Electrophorus electricus (electric eel)
Lineage: Eukaryota; Metazoa; Chordata; Actinopteri; Gymnotiformes; Gymnotidae
Source: RefSeq, a predicted model, not a curated record
UCGCGGCGCGCGGCGGAGAAGGAGCGCACGCCGAGCACGCGGGAUGUCGGGAGGCUCCGGCUACGUUAGCUGGCAGGAGGAGCUCCGUGUUUAUGUGCGUCCGUGUAUAUUCAUGUAUAACUAGAACAGGCAGAGUGUACCGAGCUCGCGUUGGGAGCUUUAACCGACAUGGACAUGCUGAUGCUGAUGGCCCGCGAGCCAGGCUGGCGGUGGCGCGCGGUCAUUAGCUUUAGCUAAGAUAAGCUAAGCCAGCGUUCUCUAACCGGCCUCGUGUCCUGGCCGUGGUCGGAAGGGCGCAUGUUUUAAUCGGCUCCGUCUGGACGGUGUUUAACGGCAGACGUGACCGCCCUGUUGAGGCCGGAGAAGUGAAAACGUGACCUGUUGGCACGGAGAGCCUCGCACCAAACCGGGUGCCAGGGACAGUGGACGGCGGAGAGCACCUGACCAGUCACGUAGACCCAUGGCGUCGGAAGCACCCGGGUGCUGCUCCUGGGAACUGACGAGCUGCUCAGCGUGGACGGAGGCGCUGGGGUCCAGGCUGGAGCUUUUCUAUAACUUUACUGCUUAUCUUUCUACCACUGUAGAAAAUGAGACACAUUCAUGGAUGUUCGCUAAGAGAAGAGGCCGGCCAGUGAGUGAAGACCCCUGAAUCAGUAGCGUAUCUCGGCCUGCAGCUCUAGGGUCUCAUCUCAGGGUUUAUAGUCUCUGUGAUCAGGCUGUGCUUGAAAUGAAACUAAUCUUUACUUAUGUUUGUUAAUGUCUGCUUAAUAAACUAUGUUAGUAACUUUGGCUGUAUGUUUGAAUAUUUCAAUCUUCUAAAGAUGCCUGAGGAAAUGGCACAAGACUUGCGCAGAAUGCUCUGUCCAGCCCGGCUCGAUGCAGCCCGGUUAGGGUUGUUUUUGACCGCGUCCGUGUCGUGCUGUCGUCUUGAGAGAGAUGGCUGCGGGUUUCAGAGAUGGCGUUCGGUUGCUCAUCAUUUGGCUGUGUGAGCUGAGAGCUUGAGGACACCAGAGCUUAAUCCUUAUUGGCUGGAAUCUGCAGACAAACGCAAACCCACAAACUAGUUAAUACGAGAUGGGCGUCAUGA